This 875-nucleotide long non-coding RNA is filed under the name Homo sapiens (human). Its description in RNAcentral is "HSALNT0372778". Lineage: Eukaryota; Metazoa; Chordata; Mammalia; Primates; Hominidae. The record is from RNAcentral.
AGAAUCAGUCGUCACCCUUCAGCUGCUAGUCUGGGAGGGCAGAGUGAUUGUAACAGGUGACAGCUGCUGUAGUGCAGAGGUUCCCGAGAUGGAGAGCUGACACAGGACAGCAACCCAGAGAAGAAAAAAUGUGAGCUGGACCUUCAAUGCUUGGCAGCAUUGAAGAGGAAAAGCAUCUCAGAUAAAGGAAAAGAAAGACGUUCAACUCUACCAACUGUCUAUAGCAUUUCACAGUGUUGUGGAUGAUUAUGCUGUCUAGGGAACUGAGUAGUUACUGCACUUUCAAAAACAUCAUCUCACAGUCCUGAGGUCCUGCAAAGUUUGUGUCUUUCCAUUCUUACAUAUAACUUACUUAACAGUUACUGCUAUCAAGAAAGUCUUGCCUUCUCACACUUCUUCCAUUAUUUUUAUGCCCUAUUUCAGUGAUCUAUCCACACAUCCAUCUUCAAGCUUCCCAAAGGCAGGAAUCACCUAUUGUUCGUCUGUAAACUCCAAUGAGAAACAUACAGUCUGGUGUAUGGGAGGUCAUCAAAACAAGUGUGGAGGUAUAAGCUAAGACUGACAACUGCCUCCCAAGUUUCUAUUCAAAAGUAAUCAUUUUGGAUGUAAAUCUCAUCAGGAAUGUGUUUAAACUCAGGAACUGCUGAAUUGUACUGUAACUUGGCUCAUCCCAAAUAGUGCAGUUGUCUUCACAAUGGAGAGACUGUCACAGCCUAAAAAGACACGUGACUCUGAGCAUCAGUUUACUGGCUGCCCACUCAAUGAUUCAGACUCCUCCAUUCUUUGUGUGGAAGAGAACUGGCCUUCCGGGAGCCUGAGGCCAAGUGAGAGAACCUUCUGAAAGCCGUCACUGCAUGGGGAGCCUGGACUUACCC